AUGUGGGAAUCGGUCUGGGAUUGGCAAGUGUCGCAGAUUCGGAGGAACUGCUUUUCGGUGGUCUAUCCUUCGAAGGAGGUGCUGAGGAUGGCCCAGAAGAGUGGCACGAUCACGCUACCUAUCAGUGAGCACAAGGCAGAAGUUGGCGAGCCGUUCAAAGAGCCGCAGGCGGUGUCCUGGCUCAGGGAAUGCUCGUGGGUUCAUGAUGCGCGUGGAGCGAGAGUCGGGUGGAACUCUGGCGCCACCGUCCUCUUCCCCUCCGCGUCCGCGCCCCCUACAGAUGACGAGGAUCCUGAGGGGGAUGAGGAAUCAGGGCCAAGCCUUAACACUGCAGACUGGGACGCGGCUGGCGCCAAAUCUAAGGUGUCCUCGACAGGUGGCACGUCGACGGGGUGGUGGUGUCAUCUGGGCCGGCGGGCCAGCAGGCGGCGGAUGUGGAGCGGGUUGCUGAGGCUGUCAACACAAGCCGGGCUCCGACUGUGGGGCCCCUGCUCCCUGCGGUGGACACGGCGCAGAUGCUUCAUCGCGAGUCGGUGCCUCUGGUGCUUGAUAUGGCUCCAACCUCCCGGAUGCUGCCUUAUCCCGGAGCAUGGUCGCGUCGAUCAGCGGGAAGAUCCCCCCGUUUCCCCCUCUCCGGGCAGGGAGCUGGAACUAGGUGGUGGUCGUGCGGUGGGCUCAGGUAUCAUGGCGGCGGACUUCCCCAUCCCAAGCGCUACUUCAACCCCAUGCUCAUCCCCUCCUGUCCGCUCUGUGACGUCGAUCACAGCUCAAUCCGGGGCUACGCCCACGGCGCAUUCCACGGCUAUUGCCCCUGUCUAG
RNAcentral lists this ribosomal RNA (819 nucleotides) under Triticum aestivum (bread wheat). RNAcentral's name for it is "partial small subunit ribosomal RNA". Lineage: Eukaryota; Viridiplantae; Streptophyta; Magnoliopsida; Poales; Poaceae. The record is from RNAcentral.